AUUGAACGCUGGCGGCAGGCCUAACACAUGCAAGUCGGACGGUAGCACAGAGAGCUUGCUCUCGGGUGACGAGUGGCGGACGGGUGAGUAAUGUCUGGGGAUCUGCCCGAUAGAGGGGGAUAACCACUGGAAACGGUGGCUAAUACCGCAUAACGUCGCAAGACCAAAGAGGGGGACCUUCGGGCCUCUCACUAUCGGAUGAACCCAGAUGGGAUUAGCUAGUAGGCGGGGUAACGGCCCACCUAGGCGACGAUCCCUAGCUGGUCUGAGGGGAUGACCAGCCACACUGGAACUGGGACACGGUCCAGACUCCUACGGGAGGCAGCAGUGGGGAAUAUUGCACAAUGGGCGCAAGCCUGAUGCAGCCAUGCCGCGUGUAUGAAGAAGGCCUUCGGGUUGUAAAGUACUUUCAGCGGGGAGGAAGGCGAUGUGGUUAAUAACCGCAUUGAUUGACGUUACCCGCAGAAGAAGCACCGGCUAACUCCGUGCCAGCCGCCGCCGUAA
RNAcentral lists this ribosomal RNA (504 nucleotides) under uncultured bacterium. RNAcentral describes it as "partial 16S ribosomal RNA". It matches the Rfam family "Bacterial small subunit ribosomal RNA", at positions 29 to 523 of the family's 1533-position model. The record is from RNAcentral.